AUGCAGAGUUCAUCUACUGGCCAAUUUCAGAAAGAGACUUCUGUGAAAAAAAUGAUGCAUUCAAAAAAAUCAGAUGCAAAUGCUCCCGACUCAUUACAUUUGAUAGAAAUACGUCCAUUUGGCUCUCAAUCUCUCUCAUCUGAUUACCCUUCACAAGGAAACCCUGAACUGACCAAUUAUAAGCAGCGACAGAUGUAUCUAUUUGCCAUCGAUGAGCCACCUGUAUUUUGCCGUGCAAUUUUGUUGAUUGUGGCUAAUGGAUAGUUGCUGCCCAUUAAUUUCAAAAGUAAUUUUUUCUUUUCUUUAGAAUGAUUUUCGUUCGUAUUUUCAGUUUUGUCAAUGUAUUGCUCCUGCAUUACUGAGUUUUUUUUUGAAAGUUACUACAGAUUUUUUGUAUGCCUGGGCAAAGAUCUGGAUUCCAUCUCACAACCAACCAAGAUACGUGUUCACUUCAUCUCUUGCUGACUCAACAGGUCUAUAUCUUUUUCUAACUAAUAAUAGUUCAGAAUACCUAAAUUGAGAGGGCGUUUAAAUGUAGUUUGCUCUAACAUUGAUUGAAAAAUGGGCAAUUUACCGGCUGUUUUAAGGAAUCUUCUCUGAACAAAUGUUGUGUAUUUUCCUUUUCAAGUGUGUUGAAAGCACUAUGUUGUUGCAUAUUGCACAUUUUUUAAAAUUUUAUCGGCACUACACAAUUAUUUGAUUAAUUUAAAACUUUUUUGUCAACCGAUUAUAAUCGUGUAAUAUAUAAUUUGUUUGAAAGCGACAAAACCUAAGAUGUAAAUGCAAUGAAAACAAUAAGGUGUAAAUUAGAUUUGAAAUUCCUCCCUUCCUGAUAAAUUUUCGGCGGUCCACCAAAAUCAUGUCUAAAAGUAAGGCUGAGACAAACGAGGUUGAACCGGGAAGAUUCAAUUUUGAAAUCUCUGUUCUGAAGAAGGAAAUUCAUUCCCUUUACAACCAAGCAAACAAAGACAAUUUCUGAAAUUUUAAAUUUUUUAUGGUCCUGUUUUCUAUUGAUUCUACUUGCAGUUUAUUGCCUCCGAUAUUUGUUCUGCUGUGUGUUUACUAUAUCAUCCAAGGCUACAAAUAUUACGGCUCUUCUGGUUAAUUCGUUCACAAAGCGGAUCCAAGCAGAUGUUUGUUUUGGUUUUGCAGACUCAAAUUUUGAACAAAACGUCGUGAUUGAAUGGUGAUUUAAGAAAAAUAGCAAUGAAGGUACAAAAACAAAACGAAGGCAACGAAACGAGGCAGGAAACACUUAAGAAGCAAGUUGUGACCUCAGAGGAGACUGUUAACUUUGCGGGCUAUACGUCAUUAAAUUAGUUCCAGGAAUUUCUUGAUGAAUAAAAUGAUUCCGAUUUGAUUAAGUUUGAACAUUUUUGAGAAAUUCUCUCGCACAAGGGAAAAAUUGUCUUUAAGAAGCCUUAUUAUACUUAAUCAUUGUUUGAUUCAAAUGUUUACUCUUUUUAAACUCUCACUAUGACUUACUCCAUAUUUAUCAAUAUAAUUAACACUAAUUAGAACUUUACGCACUCAUAAACAUAUAAACCGCUUUACUGCUUUUGUUUGAAUUUAAUAAAUUACUAGUAAGUGAAACCUAAUUUUAUGGUAAGCAAAACUUUAUUAAGUAGAGACACUUCUUAGAAUUAGGGAGCAACUGAUGAUGAACAUCUGUAUCUAAUUGAACACUUAGACGUAAGAGCUUGCAGCAAUAAUAUUACAUUAAGACACUUUUUAGGAUUAGGGAGCUAAAAUUUAGACUAUAAGAGCUUGAUAGGCAAAUAAGGCAAAGGCAAAUAGAAAAAAGGCAAAUAGGUUUAUAAGGCAAUAAUUAUGGCUUAGCAAAAAUAUGCGUUUGAAAUUAGGUUUAAUUUUAGUUUUAAUUCAAUUACGCGUUUUUCAAAGAAGGCUUUUAAAGACAUCGAUAUUUUACUCAACAGUCAAUUCUCAAACUUAACAAAUCGCUAAAUUCCAGCCAUGAACCUGAGUAAGUUGAGGGAAGUUUACUCAGGUCUUGCGUAAAGUUAAUACAUCCGAUGUUGUCCAUGAGAGGUUUUUGUUUAGGAUUUGCUCGCGUGACUAAAUAAAAAAAUUGGAAUUGAAUGGUGCUAAACUCAUGAAAGAAAGUGGUCCAGAGGAGCAGCGGUCCGGUUGGUUACAGAGGAAAAAGUCUACUUUUUUGAAAAUCUGUUUUUGGCACUUUCAGACACCUUGGAUAAACGUAAAUCUGAUUUCUUUUAAGAAACAGAGGUCCAAAUUUGCGUCUUUUGGGCUUCAUCUUAGUAAUUUUUUUAACUUCUAUUGAAUGAUGACUGAUUCAUAAAAGUAUUAAAAAGAGUCAAUAAAUGAUUAAAAAGAAGAAAGAGGAAAACCAUGAACCCCAAACUAGACGAAUGCAAUAAUUGACGUAAUCAUUUCACAACAAGCACUCCAUCACUCAUUGAUUUUUUCACGGAAAUGAAAUCUCCAUGGGAAAGCGCAGCGACUCUGAAAAAUGCAUCUGAUUGGAGAUAUGUCCUUUUCAAAAUGAUUUUUUAGUCUCUUAUUUCAAGAAGAAAAACCGCGGACUCAUAUUAGACCGAUAAAAAAUUGAGGUGGUCAAUUCAAAAAGCAUACCAGUUUUGGUCAAAAUUGACUUUUAUGGGAAUAGGAAAAGGGUAAAGGCUCCAUGGGAAGGCGCAUUGACCCUGAAAUUCCAAAAACAUCAUCCAAAUUGGAGAUGUGCCCCUUUCAAAAAGACUGAUUUGAUUCAGAUUGAGACAAUAUGAACAGAACUCUAGGUUGUAUUAUCUUCUUAACUUGUGAGGAAAAAACCCAAAAAUUAGAUUUAAAAACUAUUUUACACCCAUCUGUCCUUAUAACAUCAGUGGUUUCAAAUACUAUGAAAUUAGUAAGAUUUAAAAGUUUACCUCUUCAGAACAAUAACUGUUGAUGAGUGUGGGAAUAAAAUAGAAAAUAUUAAGUUUUGUCUCAUUUAUUACUCUGAAACCAGUUACAAAUUUUUUAUUGCUGGAUAAAAAAAGCAAUUAAACAGGGUUUUUCGACCCAAAAAACAAUUUUAAAACUAACUUAUCAAUUUCAUGCAUAUUUUCCAGAUAUAAUUUUUUUCGAUUACCGUCGACUUAUCACUCAAUUAAUAAAAUUUUAUACUUGGUCUCGACAGGAAACAUUCAUCACAUUGAUGAUUAAGAAUACAAAAACGAUCAAAGUAAACAUUUCGAAAAUCGUAUACAGUCAAAACUUCAAACUAAACAAACUCAUAAAUGAAAAACAGUGUUUUCUCUUUCUGUAAUGUAAGCACUAUGUCAUUGUAUGAGCACAGACCAAUUGGAAAAGACCAAUAAGGAUGAAUCUAUAAUCAGACUCAGGCUGAGACGAUUGGAUAUUAU
RNAcentral lists this long non-coding RNA (3386 nucleotides) under Bemisia tabaci. Its description in RNAcentral is "lncRNA ENSSSA1NGG001899". Lineage: Eukaryota; Metazoa; Arthropoda; Insecta; Hemiptera; Aleyrodidae. The record is from RNAcentral.